AUACGUAGGGUGCGAGCGUUGUCCGGAAUUACUGGCGUAAAGAGCUCGUAGGCGGUUUGUCGCGCCGUCUGUGAAAUUCCGGGGCUUAACUCCGGGCGUGCAGGCGAUACGGGCAUAACUUGAGUACUGUAGGGGAGACUGGAAUUCCUGGCGUAGCGGUGGAAUGCGCAGAUAUCAGGAGGAACACCGGUGGCGAAGGCGGGUCUCUGGGCAGUAACUGACGCUGAGGAGCGAAAGCAUGGGUAGCGAACAGGAUUAGAUACCCUGGUAGUCCAUGCCGUAAACGGUGGGCGCUAGGUGUAGGGGUCUUCCACGACUUCUGUGCCGUAGCUAAAGCAUUAAGCGCCCCGCCUGGGGAGUACGGCCGCAAGGCUAAAACUCAAAUGAAUUGACGGG
This 396-nucleotide ribosomal RNA is filed under the name uncultured bacterium. Its description in RNAcentral is "partial 16S ribosomal RNA". It matches the Rfam family "Bacterial small subunit ribosomal RNA", at positions 523 to 917 of the family's 1533-position model. The record is from RNAcentral.